This 1075-nucleotide non-coding RNA is filed under the name fungal endophyte. RNAcentral describes it as "eukaryotic LSU rRNA". The stretch from base 490 to 1075 matches the Rfam family "Eukaryotic large subunit ribosomal RNA", at positions 1 to 598 of the family's 3401-position model. RNAcentral also lists the same sequence under 1 other name. The record is from RNAcentral. Lineage: Eukaryota; Fungi.
UACUGAGUUUACGCUCUACAACCCUUUGUGAACAUACCUAUAACUGUUGCUUCGGCGGGUAGGGUCUCCGUGACCCUCCCGGCCUCCCGCCCCCGGGCGGGUCGGCGCCCGCCGGAGGAUAACCAAACUCUGAUUUAACGACGUUUCUUCUGAGUGGUACAAGCAAAUAAUCAAAACUUUUAACAACGGAUCUCUUGGUUCUGGCAUCGAUGAAGAACGCAGCGAAAUGCGAUAAGUAAUGUGAAUUGCAGAAUUCAGUGAAUCAUCGAAUCUUUGAACGCACAUUGCGCCCGCCAGCAUUCUGGCGGGCAUGCCUGUUCGAGCGUCAUUUCAACCCUCAAGCUCUGCUUGGUGUUGGGGCCCUACAGCUGAUGUAGGCCCUCAAAGGUAGUGGCGGACCCUCCCGGAGCCUCCUUUGCGUAGUAACUUUACGUCUCGCACUGGGAUCCGGAGGGACUCUUGCCGUAAAACCCCCAAUUUUCCAAAGGUUGACCUCGGAUCAGGUAGGAAUACCCGCUGAACUUAAGCAUAUCAAUAAGCGGAGGAAAAGAAACCAACAGGGAUUGCCUCAGUAACGGCGAGUGAAGCGGCAACAGCUCAAAUUUGAAAUCUGGCCCUAGGCCCGAGUUGUAAUUUGCAGAGGAUGCUUUUGGUGCGGUGCCUUCCAAGUUCCCUAGAACGGGACGCCAGAGAGGGUGAGAGCCCCGUACAGUUGGACACCAAGCCUUUGUAAAGCUCCUUCGACGAGUCGAGUAGUUUGGGAAUGCUGCUCAAAAUGGGAGGUAUAUUUCUUCUAAAGCUAAAUACCGGCCAGAGACCGAUAGCGCACAAGUAGAGUGAUCGAAAGAUGAAAAGCACUUUGAAAAGAGGGUUAAACAGCACGUGAAAUUGUUAAAAGGGAAGCGCUUGUGACCAGACUUGCGUCCGGUGAAUCACCCAGCUCUCGCGGCUGGGGCACUUCGCCGGCUCAGGCCAGCAUCAGCUCGCUGUCGGGGACAAAAGCUUCAGGAACGUAGCUCUCUUCGGGGAGUGUUAUAGCCUGUUGCAUAAUACCCUUCGGCGGGCUGAGGUACGC